ACUAAGUUUGGCUCUGGCUCCAAAAUUUACUACUUCGCCUUCUCCUGCAUGCAAGCCUUUUCCCGCCCGCACAUUAGCAAUAAGGACAACUUUCGCUCAACGCCCAAAACUUUCCUUACCUCUUUCUUAUCAACCCGAAGUAACGACACCACAAACAAUGCGCCUGCAGCAAACAAUAUUGCCUAUUCAGAUACGACAGUAUGCCCCAGAGAACGAAGAAAAUAUUGGAGAAGUCUGUGCCAGCAGCCGCGGUUACACAGACCAAUAUAAGUAAAUACCUCUCUCCAUGGUAAUAGGGGAAAAAAAUCUCUAAAGAUGUCCAACUCGCACCAAUUUGCCUACCUCUAUACCCCCAUCUUUAUUUCCAUGAAAACUAGGACAAAAACAAGGAUUAGAUACCCUUCUAUUCCUAGCCGUUAAUCGCCGGGCAGUACGAACGUAAGUUUAAAACCCAAAGAGCUUGGCGGUGCUUCAUCAUCCUAGGGGAGCCUGUUCCUUAAUUCGAUAAUCCGCGUUAAACCCAACCUAAUCUAGACCCCCUUCAGCCUGUGUAUUGCCGUCGGAAGCUUACCUCACGAGAGCACGUAAGCCCACAAACCCUCGCCGUUUCCACGUCAGGUAAAAUGCAGCCUAUGAUUAGGGGCCAAUAGGCUACAAUUUCGAAAGCCACUAGACUGGAAAUGAAACCUUCCAUGAAACUGGACUUAGUAGUAACCUUCACUCACCACGCGAAAGCGAAAAUCGCCAUCUGAAGCGUGCACACAUCGCCCGUCACUCUCGCUGAGAAGUGAGAUAAGUCGUAACAUAGUAGGCGCACCGGAAGGUGCGCCU
Molecule: non-coding RNA, 831 nt
Filed under: Sipunculus nudus (marine worm)
Lineage: Eukaryota; Metazoa; Annelida; Sipuncula; Golfingiida; Sipunculidae
Source: RNAcentral